CACAAAACACAAUCUGCAAAAUGCCAUUUUUCAUCCCUUUGUUCUCCUUCAUAGUAGUCUUCUUUACAUGACAGUUUGAAGCUUUUGUGUUGGGAUUUUGGGAACGGUUUGUGAAUGAAAAGUGUAGUUGAUGUCUUGGGCUUCAUUUUGGUAGCAAAGUUGCAAUCAUUUCUUCACUGCUGGGAUUUUAAAAUCUUAUUUGAAAAGGGAAGGGUUGGUUGAAUUUCAAGAGGUGUUCUUCAUCUUUUUGCAAAAUUGGUAGCUUACUUUGGAUUGCUUUAAAUUGUUGGUAGCUGGGUUUUCAAGCUGCAAAGAGGUUAUGGACAAGAGGUCGUAGAGGGAUUUCCUCCACAGCCAUGGAUGGAUGUUGGAUUCUAUUUGGUUAUUUAUCUUUGUCUAAAUGGGAAAUGUAUAUUUUGAGACCAGUAUGUAUAUUUGUAAAUAUUUUUCCAAACAGAUCGUGUUUAAAUAUUGUAAUUAAAGGAUUAUGGGAUUUUACGUAUGAAACCUCCUUUCAUAUUUUUAGAUAAA
This is a long non-coding RNA of Cornus florida, 531 nucleotides long. RefSeq lists it as uncharacterized. Lineage: Eukaryota; Viridiplantae; Streptophyta; Magnoliopsida; Cornales; Cornaceae. The transcript is spliced from 2 exons. The record is from RefSeq and is a predicted model, not a curated record.